Molecule: ribosomal RNA, 982 nt
Filed under: Mycosphaerella sp. PB-2012b
Lineage: Eukaryota; Fungi; Ascomycota; Dothideomycetes; Mycosphaerellales; Mycosphaerellaceae
Description: eukaryotic LSU rRNA
Rfam family: 5.8S ribosomal RNA (bases 668-821)
Source: RNAcentral
GGAUUGCACAUGAUCCCUCCGUAUGUACACUUGCAGAAGCCUUAGCGGGUCCAAAAGGCCGGCCGUCCGCGACUGAAAAGAAGAGAUGACCAUCCGCGGCGCCCCCUCGGGGGCGCGGCGCGAUCGCUAGUCAGGUCCCUCCGGGGAAGCCUCGGUCUUCGAGGUCUGGCGACACUUUCGAAUUGCGGGAAAACCCUAAAGCCAUCUUCUACCAAGCUCCCGGGGAAACCUGGGGAGUGGCUCGUGCUAACCACACGAGGUACGGUAAAAAGGAAGGUGGAUAACGUCCUCACGGACUGCAGUGGGCGAUCCGCAGCCAAGCCCUAACGCGACCGCCUCCGGGCGGGCUAUGGGACGGGUUCACAGACUAAGUGGAAGUGGGUGGGACGUCGUCCUGCUUAAGAUAUAGUCGGGCCGCCGUGGAAACAUGGCGGGUAAGUACAUGAGAGAACCCCGCCUCCGGGUGGGCAAUGUAUAACCGCUCCGUAGGUGAACCUGCGGAGGGAUCAUUACAGAGAAGCGUGGCGCCCCCGGGCGCCGCGUUCCCUCCAACCCUCUGUGAACACAACUUGUUGCUUCGGGGGCGACCCUGCCGUUUCGACGGCGAGCGCCCCCGGAGGCCCUCCAACACUGCAUCUCUGCGUCGGAGUUUAAGCAAAUUAAACAAAACUUUCAACAACGGAUCUCUUGGUUCUGGCAUCGAUGAAGAACGCAGCGAAAUGCGAUAAGUAAUGUGAAUUGCAGAAUUCAGUGAAUCAUCGAAUCUUUGAACGCACAUUGCGCCCUCUGGUAUUCCGGAGGGCAUGCCUGUUCGAGCGUCAGUACAACCACUCAAGCCUGGCUUGGUGUUGGGCGCCGCGGUGUUCCGCGCGCCUCAAAGUCUCCGGCUGAGCCGUCCGUCUCCAAGCGUUGUGAUCUUCAGAAUCGCUUCGGGGCGCGGGCGGUCGCGGCCGUUAAAUCUUGCACAUGGUUGACCUCGGAU